CAAUUAUUUCUGUCCUGACCUUUAUUUCUUUCCAUCUGCUAAUUUGGAGUUUGGUUCCUUUUUUGCUUUUCUAUAUCCUUGAGAUACAUCAUUAGGUUGUUUAUUUGAAAUAUUUCCAUUUUUAUUGAUGAUGGCACCUAUUGCUCUAAACCUCCCUCUUAGUACUGCUUUUGGUCUUUUGUGUUUGUUAUCAUUUGUUUUAAGAUAUUUUAAACUUCCUCAUCUGACUUUUUUUGACCCAUUGUUUGUUCAAAAGUGUGUUGUUCAGUUUCCAUGUAUUUGUGUAAUUUGUAAAAUCUUUUGUUUUUGACUUCUACUAGUUUUAUUUCAUUUUGAUCAUAAAAGAUACAAGAAUUCAUCUUUCUUUUUAAUUUAAUACUUGUUUUGUGGCCUUAUAGUCUAUUCUAGAGAAAGUUUCAUGUGCUGAUAUAUUUGUAUUCUAUAACUGUUUUACGAAAUAUUCUGUAAAUGUCUAUUAGGUCUAUUUGAUCUAUGGUAUAGUUUAACUUCUGUUUCUUUGAUUUUUGGAGGGUGAGGUCUGUCCAUUUGUUUUAUGAAACUGGGUUCUCCAACAUAAGGUGCAUAUAGAUUUAUGAUGAUUACAUCUUCUUGAUAAAUUGAUCCCUUGGUCAUUAUAUAGUGAUCUUUGUUUCUUCUUACAGUUUUUAUUUUUAAGUCUAUUUUGUCUGACAUAUAUGUAGCUACUGCUAUUUGCUUUAGGUUUCAAUUUUCUAGGAAUAUAAUUUCCCAUCCUUUCAACUUUGUCUGUUUUUACUGGUGAGGUGAAUUUUUUGUAGGCAGUAUAUUAUUGGGCUUUGUUUCUUAUCCAUCCAACCAGUCUGUAUCUUUUAAUUAGAGAAUUUCACCUAUUUAAAUUCAAGGUUAUUAUUAAUGAGUAAGGACUUACUCCUGUCAUUUUGUUGAUUUUCUUCUAGUUGUUUAAAUAUUCUUCAUUCUUUCUCUUCUAUUCAUUUU
Molecule: long non-coding RNA, 975 nt
Filed under: Marmota monax (woodchuck)
Lineage: Eukaryota; Metazoa; Chordata; Mammalia; Rodentia; Sciuridae
Source: RNAcentral